UUGCUUCAGCAGCAACUAUACUAAAAUUGGAAUAUACAGAGAAGAUUAGCAUGGCCCCUGUGCAAGAAUGACAUGCAAAUUCAUGAAGCAUUCAAUAUUUAU
This 102-nucleotide small nuclear RNA is filed under the name Urocitellus parryii (Arctic ground squirrel). Lineage: Eukaryota; Metazoa; Chordata; Mammalia; Rodentia; Sciuridae. The record is from RNAcentral.